This 498-nucleotide ribosomal RNA is filed under the name uncultured bacterium. RNAcentral's name for it is "partial 16S ribosomal RNA". It matches the Rfam family "Bacterial small subunit ribosomal RNA", at positions 30 to 523 of the family's 1533-position model. The record is from RNAcentral.
AUUGAACGCUGGCGGCAUGCCUUACACAUGCAAGUCGAACGGUAACAGGUCUUCGGAUGCUGACGAGUGGCGAACGGGGGAGUAAUACAUCGGAACGUGCCUAGUAGUGGGGGAUAACUACUAGAAAGAGUGGCUAAUACCGCAUGAGAUCUCAGGAUGAAAGCAGGGGAUCGCAAGACCUUGUGCUACUAGAGCGGCCGAUGGCAGAUUAGGUAGUUGGUGGGAUAAAAGCUUACCAAGCCGACGAUCGGUAGCUGGUCUGAGAGGACGAUCAGCCACACUGGGACUGAGACACGGCCCAGACUCCUACGGGAGGCAGCAGUGGGGGAUUUUGGACAAUGGGCGAAAGCCUGAUCCAGCAAUGCCGCGUGCAGGAUGAAGGCCUUCGGGUUGUAAACUGCUUUUGUACGGAACGAAAAGCCCUGGGUUAAUACCCUGGGGUCAUGACGGUACCGUAAGAAUAAGCACCGGCUAACUACGUGCCAGCCGCCGCCGUAA